This 390-nucleotide unclassified non-coding RNA is filed under the name soil metagenome. RNAcentral describes it as "partial contains 5.8S ribosomal RNA, internal transcribed spacer 2, and large subunit ribosomal RNA". The stretch from base 1 to 122 matches the Rfam family "5.8S ribosomal RNA", at positions 35 to 154 of the family's 154-position model. The record is from RNAcentral.
GAUGAAGAACGUAGCGAAAUGCGAUACUUGGUGUGAAUUGCAGAAUCCCGCGAAUCAUCGAGUUUUUGAACGCAGGUUGCGCCCGAAGCCAUUCGGCCGAGGGCACGUCUGCCUGGGUGUCACGCAUCGUUGCCCCCCCAAACUCCGGUUCGGGCAGGGCGGAAGUUGGCCUCCCGUGCGUGCCUGCGCGCGCGGUUAGCCCAAAAGCGAGUCCUCGGCGACGAGCGCCACGACAAUCGGUGGUUUUUUUACCCUCGUUCCUCGUCGUGCGUGCCCCGUCGCCCGAACGCGCUCUUGCGACCCUUACGCGUCGCCUCGGCGGCGCUCCCAACGCGACCCCAGGUCAGGCGGGACUACCCGCUGAGUUUAAGCAUAUCAAUAAGCGGAGGA